UACGGAGGAGGCAAGCGUUAUCCGGAAUUAUUGGGCGUAAAGCGUCCGCAGGUGGCGAUUCAAGUCUGCGGUCAAAGACUGGGGCUUAACCUCAGCGGGUCGGUGGAUACUGGUUCUCUUGAAGGCGUUAGGGGGAGAUGGAAUUACCGGUGUAGCGGUGAAAUGCGUAGAUAUCGGUAGGAACACCCGUGGCGAAGGCGGUCUCCUGGGACGUUCUUGACGCUGAGGCGCGAAAGCUGGGGGAGCGAACGGG
This 253-nucleotide ribosomal RNA is filed under the name uncultured bacterium. RNAcentral's name for it is "partial 16S ribosomal RNA". It matches the Rfam family "Bacterial small subunit ribosomal RNA", at positions 524 to 776 of the family's 1533-position model. The record is from RNAcentral.